UCCCGAUUAGCUCAGUUGGUAGAGCGUUCGACUGUUAAUCGAAAUGUCGCCGGUUCGAGUCCAGCAUCGGGAGCCA
RNAcentral lists this transfer RNA (76 nucleotides) under Aeriscardovia aeriphila. Its description in RNAcentral is "tRNA-Asn". It matches the Rfam family "tRNA". Rfam says of the family: Transfer RNA (tRNA) molecules are approximately 80 nucleotides in length. Their secondary structure includes four short double-helical elements and three loops (D, anti-codon, and T loops). The record is from RNAcentral. Lineage: Bacteria; Bacillati; Actinomycetota; Actinomycetes; Bifidobacteriales; Bifidobacteriaceae.